This 90-nucleotide transfer RNA is filed under the name Armillaria gallica. RNAcentral's name for it is "tRNA-Glu". It matches the Rfam family "tRNA". Rfam says of the family: Transfer RNA (tRNA) molecules are approximately 80 nucleotides in length. Their secondary structure includes four short double-helical elements and three loops (D, anti-codon, and T loops). The record is from RNAcentral. Lineage: Eukaryota; Fungi; Basidiomycota; Agaricomycetes; Agaricales; Physalacriaceae.
UCGGAUAUGGUGUAACGGCUAACAUUGCCGCCUCUCACAGUGAUCUGAAGCUAUUCGCGGCAGCUCGGGGUUCGAUUCCCCGUAUCCGAA